UCGAACUCCUGAUGGCAAGGUGAUCUGC
RNAcentral lists this non-coding RNA (28 nucleotides) under Homo sapiens (human). Lineage: Eukaryota; Metazoa; Chordata; Mammalia; Primates; Hominidae. The record is from RNAcentral.